GGGCAAGGAUUAACUAACAUAAGCGACCAGGGAUCCUUUGAACUCCAAACCUCACAACGGGGAUACUGUUCAUCUCACAUGUUAAUUUGAGCUGUGAUGACAAGGGUCAAGAAGCUGAGCCUUGAAUCCUUGCUCAAGUCCUUUCGGCCUUCUUUAUAGACUGAUUCGCUGUAGGCGUUGCGGCGUGCAUACCGGCCUCCCUCCAAGCAUUUGUGAUGCAGUGCUGCACAAAUUGUUGUAUUAACCCUGGCCUCGCCAGAAUCACAGCUGCUAUGUCUGUUAUAGGCUGCAUGGUUUUGCCAGCAUCGGAAAGGGCGUUUCUUCAUUGACCUUUUCUUCGUACAGAUUUCAAUGCUGAUUUAUUCGUUUUGGCGGAAUGUUGCAAAAAGAUACUGGGUUGAGAGUCGGUGUGCAACCUAGCAGCUUUCUAGGGAAUGCCUAGUAGGCACAAGUCAUCAGCUUGUGCCGAUUACGUCCCUGCCCUUUGUACACACCGCCCGUCGCUACUACCGAUUGAAUGGCUCAGUGAGGCCUUCGGACUGGCUUAGGGAGGUUGGCAACGACCACCCCGAGCCGGAAAGUUGGUCAAACUUGGUCAUUUAGAGGAAGUAAAAGUCGUAACAAGGUUUCCGUAGGUGAACCUGCGGAAGGAUCAUUA
This 658-nucleotide non-coding RNA is filed under the name Uncinocarpus reesii 1704. RNAcentral's name for it is "Eukaryotic small subunit ribosomal RNA". It matches the Rfam family "Eukaryotic small subunit ribosomal RNA", at positions 1357 to 1831 of the family's 1831-position model. The record is from Rfam by way of RNAcentral. Lineage: Eukaryota; Fungi; Ascomycota; Eurotiomycetes; Onygenales; Onygenaceae.